RNAcentral lists this ribosomal RNA (443 nucleotides) under uncultured bacterium. RNAcentral's name for it is "partial 16S ribosomal RNA". It matches the Rfam family "Bacterial small subunit ribosomal RNA", at positions 338 to 795 of the family's 1533-position model. The record is from RNAcentral.
CCUACGGGUGGCAGCAGUGGGGAAUAUUGGGCAAUGGGCGCAAGCCUGACCCAGCAACGCCGCGUGAAGGAAGAAGGCUUUCGGGUUGUAAACUUCUUUUCUGAGGGACGAAGAAAGUGACGGUACCUCAGGAAUAAGCCACGGCUAACUACGUGCCAGCAGCCGCGGUAAUACGUAGGUGGCAAGCGUUAUCCGGAUUUAUUGGGUGUAAAGGGCGUGUAGGCGGGAAAGCAAGUCAGAUGGGAAAACUCAGGGCUCAACCCUGAGCCUGCAUUUGAAACUGGCAGACUUGAGUUGGCGAGAGGUAAGCGGAAUGCGAGGUGUAGCGGUGAAAUGCAUAGAUAUCGCGAAGAACUCCGAUUGCGAAGGCAGCGUACCGGCGCCAGACUGACGCUGAGGCACGAAAGCGUGGGGAUCGAACAGGAUUAGAUACCCCAGUAGUC